Molecule: ribosomal RNA, 700 nt
Filed under: Vibrio vulnificus
Lineage: Bacteria; Pseudomonadati; Pseudomonadota; Gammaproteobacteria; Vibrionales; Vibrionaceae
Description: bacterial SSU rRNA
Rfam family: Bacterial small subunit ribosomal RNA
Source: RNAcentral
GAGCACCGGCUAACUCCGUGCCAGCAGCCGCGGUAAUACGGAGGGUGCGAGCGUUAAUCGGAAUUACUGGGCGUAAAGCGCAUGCAGGUGGUUUGUUAAGUCAGAUGUGAAAGCCCGGGGCUCAACCUCGGAAUUGCAUUUGAAACUGGCAGACUAGAGUACUGUAGAGGGGGGUAGAAUUUCAGGUGUAGCGGUGAAAUGCGUAGAGAUCUGAAGGAAUACCGGUGGCGAAGGCGGCCCCCUGGACAGAUACUGACACUCAGAUGCGAAAGCGUGGGGAGCAAACAGGAUUAGAUACCCUGGUAGUCCACGCCGUAAACGAUGUCUACUUGGAGGUUGUGGCCUUGAGCCGUGGCUUUCGGAGCUAACGCGUUAAGUAGACCGCCUGGGGAGUACGGUCGCAAGAUUAAAACUCAAAUGAAUUGACGGGGGCCCGCACAAGCGGUGGAGCAUGUGGUUUAAUUCGAUGCAACGCGAAGAACCUUACCUACUCUUGACAUCCAGAGAACUUUCCAGAGAUGGAUUGGUGCCUUCGGGAACUCUGAGACAGGUGCUGCAUGGCUGUCGUCAGCUCGUGUUGUGAAAUGUUGGGUUAAGUCCCGCAACGAGCGCAACCCUUAUCCUUGUUUGCCAGCGAGUAAUGUCGGGAACUCCAGGGAGACUGCCGGUGAUAAACCGGAGGAAGGUGGGGACGACGUCA